GAUGAACGCUGCCAGAAUGCUUAACACAUGCAAGUCCACUUGAACUUCGGUUUGGGUGGCGGACGGGUGAGUAACGCGUAAAGAACUUGCCUCACAGUUAGGGACAACAUUUGGAAACGAAUGCUAAUACCCGAUAUUAUGAUUUUAGGGCAUCCUAGAAUUAUGAAAGCUAUAUGCGCUGUGAGAGAGCUUUGCGUCCCAUUAGCUAGUUGGAGAGGUAACGGCUCACCAAGGCGAUGAUGGGUAGCCGGCCUGAGAGGGUGAACGGCCACAAGGGGACUGAGACACGGCCCUUACUCCUACGGGAGGCAGCAGUGGGGAAUAUUGGACAAUGGACCAAGAGUCUGAUCCAGCAAUUCUGUGUGCACGAUGAAGUUUUUCGGAAUGUAAAGUGCUUUCAGUUGGGAAGAAAAAAAUGACGAUACCAACAGAAGAAGUGACGGCUAAAUACGUG
Molecule: ribosomal RNA, 454 nt
Filed under: uncultured bacterium
Lineage: Bacteria
Description: partial 16S ribosomal RNA
Rfam family: Bacterial small subunit ribosomal RNA
Source: RNAcentral